CGAGAGGUUUAGAAGGCCUGCUAACCCUUCAAUCUGGAAAA
This 41-nucleotide transfer RNA is filed under the name Crotalus sp. AAL-2011. RNAcentral describes it as "partial tRNA-Ser". Lineage: Eukaryota; Metazoa; Chordata; Lepidosauria; Squamata; Viperidae. The record is from RNAcentral.